UACAGAGGUCCCAAGCGUUGUUCGGAUUCACUGGGCGUAAAGGGUGCGUAGGCGGUCGGGUAAGUCUGAUGUGAAAUCUUCGAGCUCAACUCGAAAAUGGCAUUGGAUACUAUUCGGCUGGAGGGUUGGAAGGGGGACUGGAAUUCCAGGUGUAGCGGUGAAAUGCGUAGAUAUCUGGAGGAACACCGGUGGCGAAGGCGGCGUUCUGGACUGCAACUGACACUGAUGAACGAAAGCCAGGGGAGCAAACGGG
This 253-nucleotide ribosomal RNA is filed under the name uncultured bacterium. RNAcentral describes it as "partial 16S ribosomal RNA". It matches the Rfam family "Bacterial small subunit ribosomal RNA", at positions 524 to 776 of the family's 1533-position model. The record is from RNAcentral.